AGAGUUUGAUCCUGGCUCAGGAUGAACGCUAGCUACAGGCUUAACACAUGCAAGUCGAGGGGCAGCAUGUUGGUUGCUUGCAACCAAUGAUGGCGACCGGCGCACGGGUGAGUAACGCGUAUCCAACCUACCCUUGUCCAUCGGAUAACCCGUCGAAAGGCGGCCUAACACGAUAUGCGGUUCUCAGCAGGCAUCUAACGAGAACGAAAUGUGAAGGAGAAGGAUGGGGAUGCGUCUGAUUAGGCUUGUUGGCGGGGUAACGGCCACCAAGGCGACGAUCAGUAGGGUUCUGAGAGGAAGGUCCCCCANAUUGGAACUGAGACACGGUCCAAACUCCGUACGGGAGGCA
This 349-nucleotide ribosomal RNA is filed under the name uncultured bacterium. RNAcentral's name for it is "bacterial SSU rRNA". It matches the Rfam family "Bacterial small subunit ribosomal RNA", at positions 8 to 350 of the family's 1533-position model. The record is from RNAcentral.